GAUCCUGGCUCAGGACGAACGCUGGCGGCGCGCCUAACACAUGCAAGUCGAACGAGAGAGAGGAAGCUUGCUUCCUCGAUCGAGUGGCGAACGGGUGAGUAACGCGUGAGGAACCUGCCUCAAAGAGGGGGACAACAGUUGGAAACGACUGCUAAUACCGCAUAAGCCCACGACCCGGCAUCGGGAAGAGGGAAAAGGAGCAAUCCGCUUUGAGAUGGCCUCGCGUCCGAUUAGCUAGUUGGUGAGG
This 247-nucleotide ribosomal RNA is filed under the name uncultured bacterium. RNAcentral describes it as "partial 16S ribosomal RNA". It matches the Rfam family "Bacterial small subunit ribosomal RNA", at positions 15 to 257 of the family's 1533-position model. The record is from RNAcentral.